This 400-nucleotide ribosomal RNA is filed under the name uncultured bacterium. RNAcentral describes it as "bacterial SSU rRNA". It matches the Rfam family "Bacterial small subunit ribosomal RNA", at positions 975 to 1375 of the family's 1533-position model. The record is from RNAcentral.
CAAGGCUUGACAUGAACCGGAAAGACCUGGAAACAGGUGCCCCGCUUGCGGUCGGUUUACAGGUGGUGCAUGGUUGUCGUCAGCUCGUGUCGUGAGAUGUUGGGUUAAGUCCCGCAACGAGCGCAACCCUCGUUCUAUGUUGCCAGCGGUUCGGCCGGGGACUCAUAGGAGACUGCCGGGGUCAACUCGGAGGAAGGUGGGGACGACGUCAAAUCAUCAUGCCCCUUAUGUCUUGGGCUUCACGCAUGCUACAAUGGCCGGUACAAAGGGUUGCGAUACUGUGAGGUGGAGCUAAUCCCAAAAAGCCGGUCUCAGUUCGGAUUGGGGUCUGCAACUCGACCCCAUGAAGUCGGAGUCGCUAGUAAUCGCAGAUCAGCAACGCUGCGGUGAAUACGUUCCC